RNAcentral lists this ribosomal RNA (433 nucleotides) under uncultured bacterium. RNAcentral's name for it is "partial 16S ribosomal RNA". It matches the Rfam family "Bacterial small subunit ribosomal RNA", at positions 36 to 507 of the family's 1533-position model. The record is from RNAcentral.
CCCUCCCUCUUUCUUCAUGCCUAACACAUGCAAGUCGAACGAAAGCUUCGGGUCUAUUGUCGCACGGUUUCGUAAGGCGUGGGAACAUUCCCUUAGGUUCGGACUAACUCUCCGACUGGGAUGCUAAUGCCAGAUAAUGGCUUCUGACGAAUGAUUUAUCGCCUUUGGAUGGGCGCGAGUGGGAUUCGCUAGUUGGUAGGGUAAUAGCUGACCAAGGCGACGAUCCAUAGCUGGGUGGAGAGGAUGAUCAGCCACACUGGGAGUGAGACACGGCCCGGAAUCCUACGGGAGGCAGCAGUGGGGAACAUUGGAACGUGGGCGGAAGGAUGAUGCAGCAAGGCCGCGUGAGUGCUGAAGGCCUUAGGGUUGUAAAGCGCUUUUAACCGGGAUGAUAAUGACAGUACCGGGAGAAUAAGCCCCGGCUAACUACGUG